This 117-nucleotide ribosomal RNA is filed under the name Oreochromis niloticus (Nile tilapia). The record is from RNAcentral. Lineage: Eukaryota; Metazoa; Chordata; Actinopteri; Cichliformes; Cichlidae.
GCUUACGGUCAUACCACCCUGAGCACGCCCGAUCUCGUCUGAUCUCGGAUGGGAAGCAGGGUUGGGCUUGGUAGUACUUGGUUGGGAGACUACUGCGAAUACCAGGUACUGUAAGCU